Non-coding RNA from Callorhinus ursinus (northern fur seal), 666 nucleotides. The record is from RefSeq and is a predicted model, not a curated record. Lineage: Eukaryota; Metazoa; Chordata; Mammalia; Carnivora; Otariidae.
GAGGGAAGUGGUAUUUUUUUAAGCCUGGAGACUUCUCUGAGGUGAGAGAAUUGCUGGGCAUUAGCUAGAAGGUUAAAAGGGUGCCUUCCCAAAGCAGAACCCUUUGGCAUGUUAACAAGAUGAGGAGUUCGUUCAGUGAAAGAAAGCUGAGCCCCUGCAGUGUGCACCCUCCAAAGCCAGAGAUCCAGUAGCGGAUAGAGUUCACCUUCUACCAUGAGGCUACAGAGAGUAAACAAGACUAUGUAAGCUGGGUGGCGAUUAAAGAGAUUUGUCAUUUUAAAUGGGAUGGGCAGGGGAGGACAUCUGGGCAAAGCCCGGGAAGAUAGGAAGAAACAAGUGUGUGUGGAUUUCUGGGGCAAGAGCAUUCUAGCCAGAAGAAUGAAUUACACACACACACACACACACACACACACGAGGGGUGACCAGGCCCAUUUUACAGAUGGGAAGGCUGACAGGAUUUGUACCCGGACCAUCUCGCCAGAACCUACAACGGAAGCCGUUGGUUGCUUCACCUGUACCCCUUCUGCACCCCCACCCCAUAGAGGGGAGUGGGAACCCCUCAGCCCCUCCACUUUCCCGAUCCUAAACAUAGCUGCACACCCGGUUUAGCAGCUAGGUGUCCCCAGUUUGGGGUCCCAGCAGGCCUUUGCUUUCAUGGAGCAGCUG